This 398-nucleotide ribosomal RNA is filed under the name uncultured bacterium. Its description in RNAcentral is "partial 16S ribosomal RNA". It matches the Rfam family "Bacterial small subunit ribosomal RNA", at positions 523 to 918 of the family's 1533-position model. The record is from RNAcentral.
AUACGUAGGGUGCGAGCGUUGUCCGGAAUUACUGGGCGUAAAGAGCUCGUAGGUGGUUUGUCGCGUCGUCUGUGAAAUUCCGGGGCUUAACUCCGGGCGUGCAGGCGAUACGGGCAUAACUUGAGUACUGUAGGGGAGACUGGAAUUCCUGGUGUAGCGGUGAAAUGCGCCGAUAUCAGGAGGAACACCGGUGGCGAAGGCGGGUCUCUGGGCAGUAACUGACGCUGAGGAGCGAAAGCAUGGGUAGCGAACAGGAUUAGAUCCCCUGGUAGUCCAUGCCGUAAACGGUGGGCGCUAGGUGUAGGGGUCUUCCACGACUUCUGUGCCGUAGCUAACGCAUUAAGCGCCCCGCCUGGGAAGUACGGCCGCAAGGCUAAAACUCAAAGGAAUUGACGGGG